This 496-nucleotide ribosomal RNA is filed under the name uncultured bacterium. RNAcentral describes it as "partial 16S ribosomal RNA". It matches the Rfam family "Bacterial small subunit ribosomal RNA", at positions 28 to 506 of the family's 1533-position model. The record is from RNAcentral.
GAUGAACGCUGGCGGCGUGCCUAAUACAUGCAAGUCGAGCGAACAGACGAGGAGCUUGCUCCUCUGACGUUAGCGGCGGACGGGUGAGUAACACGUGGAUAACCUACCUAUAAGACUGGGAUAACUUCGGGAAACCGGAGCUAAUACCGGAUAAUAUAUUGAACCGCAUGGUUCAAUAGUGAAAGACGGUUUUGCUGUCACUUAUAGAUGGAUCCGCGCCGCAUUAGCUAGUUGGUAAGGUAACGGCUUACCAAGGCAACGAUGCGUAGCCGACCUGAGAGGGUGAUCGGCCACACUGGAACUGAGACACGGUCCAGACUCCAACGGGAUGCAGCAGUAGGGAAUCUUCCGCAAUGGGCGAAAGCCUGACGGAGCAACGCCGCGUGAGUGAUGAAGGUCUUCGGAUCGUAAAACUCUGUUAUUAGGGAAGAACAAAUGUGUAAGUAACUAUGCACGUCUUGACGGUACCUAAUCAGAAAGCCACGGCUAACUACGU